GCCCGGGUGGCGGAAUAGGUAGACGCUGCGGACUUAAAAUCCGCUCCUGUGAAAACGGGGUGCCGGUUCGAUUCCGGCCCUGGGCA
This 86-nucleotide transfer RNA is filed under the name Fibrobacter sp. RNAcentral's name for it is "tRNA-Leu". It matches the Rfam family "tRNA". Rfam says of the family: Transfer RNA (tRNA) molecules are approximately 80 nucleotides in length. Lineage: Bacteria; Pseudomonadati; Fibrobacterota; Fibrobacteria; Fibrobacterales; Fibrobacteraceae. The record is from RNAcentral.